CCCGUCGUCAUCGUGGCAAGCUGCCGCCUCUACUAGGAUAGCGCAGAAGCCGACGCGAGGAGGUGCCCCAUCUCCCCGUUGCUCUGCCUUCGUGUCAAGGCGAUGGAGAUGUGCGAGAGCCGAGAGGGAUGGGAGGAGGAGUGGCCACGGUGAAGUGGCCGAAGGAGGUGCUGGCAUGGCGGCGGCGUGGGGAGCGAUUGGAGGCGGGCCUCGCCGCUGCCUCCUGAGGUGAGCCUCGCCGUCACUUUCUCUUGGUGCGAUUCAGGGUGGACACGGUCCAGGCCGGUCCGGUCCCGGUCCGAGCCGCCGUUUGGACCGGACGCCGGCGGUCCGGGCCGGACCGGACCGAGCUGUGCAGCGGUCCUGAUUACAGGGACCGGACCGGCUGGCAUGAAGCUCGGUGCGGACCGGCGGUCCUGGCGGUCCUGGCGCCGUCCAGUCACUGCCAUGUGGGCCCAGGACAUCGGAGUGGUGGUCGGAGUAGCAACACGGUGGCCGGAGCCGGAGAAGAAGCACCUGAUGCACGGUGGCGCGAGAGAAAGGCACGGGAGAGAGAGGGAGCAGCAUGGCGCGAGGCAGAGGCGUGGUGGCGCGAGGGGACGACGGCGAGAGGUAGAGGCGCGGCGGCGCGAGGUUGUGCCGGGAGAGGAAGUCGAGGAAGACGGCGGCGCAGGGGAGGAAGAGGGGCUGCGCAGGGGAGGAAGAGGGACGGCGCGUGCGAGGAAGAGGAGGCAGUGGCAGUUCGCUAGGUCACGCACGCCCCUCUUAUUAGCUUUAUUGGGCUGGGCUCUUCUGAUUAGCUUUAUUGGGCUGGGCCUUCGGUCCUCCGAGCCGUACCGAGCUUUAACCGGACCGGACCGACCGAAUUUCGGUCUCGUUUUCACGGACCGGACCGGCCAUAUUAUCUAGCGAGCCAGGCCCGUACGGUCCGGUCCAUAACGGGCCGCGGUCCAGGCCAGAAGCCCGCUCGUCCCGUCCACCCUGAGGUGCGAUGCUGCGUGUACAAUAGCCGGCGAGGUCUGUAUCUUGCGUCAAGAGUAGCGGCGUGGGGAUCUUCAGGAGGUCCAUCGACAGCAAUACACAGCUGCAGGAAUGACAACAGGUGGACUAGCUCAACGUGAGGGUGACCAUGGGCAAGGCCGCAAGGGGUGCUGUGGCUGCUCGAGGUCUGGUGGUCAUGACAGGGGGCGAUGUGGCUGUCAAGGUCUGGUUCGUUUUUGACGCCGCAGAAGUCGUCCAUGUCACUCCGAUCGGCUAACCGGCUGAUCCCACGGCCACGGGUGAGGCGAAAUCUCCCUAUUAUACCUGCAAAUCUUUUGCGUCCUCUAUUCACUGAUUAGUAUGGGCGAGCUGAUUGUGAUGGUCAUACUUGGGUGCAGAGUGCAGGCUCCUACUCCAGGCUUCGAUCUAGAAACAAUUUCCCUGGGUGAAUGUAGGGAUGUACUAUGUAGUGUGAUUAAUUCGUUCAAGCUUUGUGUUCUUGAUUUUUCAUAAAAUUACGAAGUCUGCCUGUGUGAUUUGAGUGAAAUUUGUUGGUUGGGACAGGUUUACUUAGUCCUGCAACUUAGUUCUGCAUUAUGGAAGGUUUACUUAGUCCUGCAAAUUCGUCAAGUCUGAAUAUACAAGGUGGCUUACAUGUGAGUUCUUGCCCUGUUCAUGAUGGAACUAUGUAUCUCCAUUAACUGCGUGGGCUGCACUUAUCUGAAGUUUGUAUCUACCUCUUUGCUCACGAUUUGUUCGAUCAAAUUUUGUAUAAAUACCUAGAUUGUAUGAAUGAAUUUAUGUGAUUUUCCCUGGAAUUUAUGAAUACAUUUUUUGCAGAAUUGGACUGAUAUAAAUUAUUUGAAUUUGGAUUACUGAUUCUUUCUCAAAUAUUUCAGUCCCUGCAGCAACAUCAGUGUUAUUUGACAGAAUUGCAUCAGCCCUGAAGGGUUUGGAAACAUCGAUCCCUGCCAUUAUAAACAGAACAUGUUGCGUUCUCGCUGCAUAGUAUUAGAAGGACUCAUGUAUGAAGUAUCUAUUUUAAAGAAAUUAAACCUAUCUUUGGAAUUUUGAUUCCCAGGUCUGAAUUCAGAUCUAUAUAUUUUUAUCUUCUUGUAAUGGUUUGCCUCCUGCAAUCAUUUGUUUGCCUUUAUCUGCAUCCGCAUGAAGAUUAAAAAUGGAAGAGAAAUCAAUGAACUAUAUUGUUCCGCCGUACAUAGGCCGGAAAGAUUUGAUGUAUGUAUAGCGUAUUUUUAAGGCAUGGCCAUCUCAGCAAUAAUCAGUACAUUAUAGGAUUGUCACCAAAGAUGUGAAAUCAAGGUCAUGUAGAUAGUCAUGCUUAGCAGAUUGUUUAUAUUCGGAAGGAAAGAAGACAGAAACAGUAACAGACCAUGUAUUUUUAUCAGCGAAUUCAGCUUAGUUAGCUUUGCUUGAUAUUGGUUUGCAAAAUCUAACUCUCUUAACUCCUCUUUUAAGUGAGGGUUUGCUCUGCUCUAUAAUUUUCUUCCAUUUUCCAAUACAAAUUGUGUUUAAAUGAUACGUGGCAUUGCGAAUUAUGACCAACUAGCUACGGUUUAGUAUGGUAUGGUUUUGUUCUGGCUCAUUUCAUUGACUGUGGUUGGUUGUUAUCAUUUUAUACCCACAUUUUCAAACCUUAGAGAAAGGGAUGGCAACAAAGCUUCAUAUUUCAGCUACUGAUAUCAUAGUGUGCAUGUUAUGGGCACAACUAAGUCUUCUUGCAUGUUGCAGUAAUGUACAGUUGGACGUUAAGCUAAUUUUCUUUUUUGCAGGUUAAGCUAAUAGCUUCAUAGAUGAAAUUUUGUCUAUCUUGUUGUAUAAAUUAUAGCAUCGUGUAGGCCGAUAGCUGAAAUUUAGUCUACCUUGCACUAUAAUUUUUGGCAUAGUGCAAUUCAUCUUGCUGCAUAAAUUAUCUUCACUAUAAAUUCUGGCAUAGUACAGUCCAUCUUGCUGUAUAAAUUUUGGUACAGUGCAGACAAGGCAUGAGAAAAUGGCUUGCCGAGCCAACACCGGCAACACUGCACCAUGAGGAUGGUCGGUGGGCACCAUCAAACAAAUCUCAAUAGUGUUAUCUUGCAUUCGUACGAGCAUCGGUCCGGCCUUUUUAAAUACGAACAACAAAUCGCUGCAUUUUACGAGCCUUUUUCUGGUUUAUUCUUAUUGCUUGAGAAUUUUAAGGAGCAUUGUGGGUUUCUCUGCCCAUAAGGAGGAAACUACAUUUUGUAUGUGAUGCAUGUUUGGCUGAAAUCCCCCCUUCUACCUUUUGCAGAGCUCUCACAAAUCAAGUAAGUUACGAAGUGGCCUGAAUGUCUAGAUUCUAGCUUGCUUUGAAUUUAUGAAUUAUCGCUGCUAUAUUGUUAUCUCGGGAUAGUGAAACAGUCGAGUUGUACUACUUGCAGGGGAUUUCUGCAUACAGUUCAUCCAUUCAGUAAAGGCAUAUGCAGAAAUAUCUAUCACUUUGACUUCACCACGAAAUUAAUUUGUUCUGGAAGCCGUAGGUACCCUUACUCGAGGAGCUGGAAGCCAGAGAAGCUCUGUACCAAUUUUAGUGCUGGUGUUAUUGAUCUGUGUGUUGCUGUGCCAUUCUUCAGCCCUAGCAUGUGUUGUCAUCCAUUGUUCAAACUUUUUCUUCCACUGGAAGCAUGUCUUUCAUGAACUGCACCAAUAAAUGUACAUUGAAUUUAUCAAUGUCUAUAUGUAGUUUAUCCUUUCUCCUUGACGCGCUUAGAAUUUACGUAAAUAUUUACGCGCUCAGAAUUUUUAAAACUGAAACACCGAUUAUGCGGGGGGAGGGGGACAAUGGCCCCCUUAGCCCUUGCCUUAGUCAACUUCCCCAUGCUCCAUUGUUUUGCCAACAAUGAUACUAUCUCUAAUGUUUGCUUUAUUGCAGGCUAAACGUCCUUCUGCUAUCGAUUCCUUUCACAAAAUCACAACCAACUGGCAGGGCAAGACGAUAGCUUCUUGGACUACGACGGAACACUGUCGCCAAUAGUAGAUAAUCCUGACGAGGCAUACAUGUCCAACGAGGUAAGUAUAACGAAAAGAAAAAUUCUUGCAUGUUCCUUGAUAUUUGUAGAUCUUUCUUAUCCCUGGAACAUAUAAUCAGAUGCAUGAACUUGUUCAAGAAAUUGCCUCCUUGUGCCCCACUUCAGUCGUCAGUGGAAGGGCCUGCGAUAAGGUAUUACGUAUCUAGUAGCCUUUUAAUUUGGAUGUUCUAUACAUUUGUAAUUAGUGACUCACUUGUUUUGCUAUUCAUCUGUUGACAGAAAAUUUCAAAAUGAUCGAAAACCUGCACUAUGCAGGGAGCCACGGAGCAGAAAUCAAACUCCUAAGCCAUUAUUAAAUUUAGAAAUGUCUAUAUGUAGUUUAUCCUUUCUCUUUGACAUGCUCAGAAUUUAUGUGAAUAUUUAACCUGCAGAGUGAUGAAACAGAAACCCACGAGCCUACCAACGAGUACGUACCUGUUAUAAAUCAGAUAUAGAAUAUAACGAAUUAUAAUAAUCCACAUAUCUAUCUUUUUAACAACUAUUUUGCUGCUUCCUACUAUUCUGUCCAUAAGUAAAACUCAGUUCUGCCUAGCCCUUGCCUUAGUCAAUUCUUCCCCAUGCUCAAUUCUUUUGCAAAAAAACUACCUGCAAACCACAUGUUGCGGUUUGCAAAGAAGCCCUUCUUAAUUGUCUAUCCUCAAAUAAUUAAAAAAAUUAGGCGAGGUUUUGUGCGGUUUGCAAAGAAGCCCUUAAGGUGAGAUGAACUUAUGUUUCAAAUAAUUACAAAAAAAUGUAGUUACACAGGUUCUCGAAGACAUAUGCUGGAAGGAAAUGUUGUGUGAGAAGCGACGUAUUCCAAGAGCCAUCGACAUUCAGGAGAUCUGCCAUCCAUUUUAGUCUGCAUCGACGUUUUUGUGUGAUCGGCCUAAAGGAGGGUUCCCUUGGGAUCCAAGGAUCAUUGCCAUAUGUGUAUGUUUUCUUCAGUGCCAACAUGCCAGACGCACCCCUGCUUAGCUAGCUCUAACCCAUAUUCAAUGGUUGCACAUGUCGACGAACCAUUCCCUGUGAAGAUUGUGUCAAUAAUGGAUCCAGACAGAUAGUACUUGGCUCAUAGGACCCGUGGACAUAGGCUCUCCAAAACUAUGUGCAAGCAAGGCCUUGAUUGAACAACCUCAAAUUUUUGCACAAGCUCCUACAAAUUUUGCAUCCAGCUCAUGUAUGUACUCGCUCAAGUCCUUUUUACUCAACGUAUAAGAUUUGUCUUAAGUUAAACUCCGUAAAGUUUGACCAUGUUUGUGUAAAAAAAUACCAACAUCUAUAAUACUAAAAUUCUAAAGUUAUACAUUAUGAAAAUUAAAUUCAUGGCGCAUCUAACUAUAUUGGUUUCAUAUUAGAAUGUUGUUAUCUUUUCAAUAAAGUUGGUCAAACUUUACUAAAUUUGAUUUUAGAUGAAACUUAUAUGCGGAGUAAAAUGGACCGGAGGGAGUAUAUAUACUCCAAUAAAUUUCCAUCGGCUCAUAAUAUUUGAAACUAUCAGCUGAGCAUGACGGGAGCAUGUAUCACAUAUAUUUGAGACCAAUGAUGCUGUGAUUACCUCAUGCCCAAAUAUUUUUUGCCUAGAAUUCAUGUACUUUUAACAGGAAAAGUUCGCCGAAGUUGGUCAAUCUCUCUUAAUCAAUCCUUUAAAAAAUUGGUAUAUAACCCUGCACUUCGAUCAUAACAACCUCUUGCAUCCGUACUUCGCAUAGCAUGAUCCACUUGAAGCAAGAAGAAAAAUCCUAAACGCAUAUAAAAAAAAGAAAAAAACCUACUCCUUCCGUCUCAUAAUGUAAGACGUUUUUUGACACUAGUGUAGUGUCAAAAUAUAUCUUACAUUAUAGGACACAGGGAGUAAUUCUAAAUAUACUACACCUAGCUAGGUUUGAUUUAUCUGGAUUUGACUUUUUUCUAUCAGUGGAAAACAGACCAAUGGGAAGGCGACACGUUAUUUACUGGGGAUCUGUUGGGAUAUGUUUUGGAGUGCCUUUAGCGAUUUGGUAGAGCUGCAGUUGCUGGAUUGGUUUCGCCCAUCUCUCUUAAUCCUUUACACGUGCGGACGAUGCGUCUUCAUCUUUGGAAGACUUUCGUGAAAUCCCGUUGGUUCCUAUUUCAUACCUCUCAAUUCUUGCCGCGUGUCCAUCCCGAAGACUCUCGUGGGAUCAUGACCACCACCGCUUGCCGUUGUUCCACCGCCGUAUGGGCUAAUAAAAAGGCUACCCUCCCUCGCCAUCCGCCUCGCCCACUCUCGAGCUGUGGUCUUCCAAAGUCGGGCGGCGCACCAGCCGCUCUCCUUGAUCUCGCCGGUUGCGGUGCCUCGCCGAUGUGCAGGGCCAAGGACGUGCCGAUGCAUCGAGAUGCCCCUCGCCCAGCCUACUGGCGCUCCGUCGACGCACCUGGCUCCUCCUCGACGCCUCAAGCCGUCCCGCGCCGCAUGUGUCUAGGUCUCGUGCCCGUCCAGGCCACCAGCAUGCUGCCGUCCCACGCUCUACCGGAGCCCUCUGCCCGUCGUCAUCGUGGCAAGCUGCCGCCUCUACUAGGAUAGCGCAGAAGCCGACGCGAGGAGGCGCCCCAUCUCCCCGUUGCUCUGCCUUCGUGUCAAGGCGAUGGAGAUGUGCGAGAGCUGAGAGGGAUGGGAGGAGGAGCGGCCACGGUGAAGUGGCCGAAGGAGGUGCUGGCAUGGCGGCGGCGUGGGGAGCGAUUGGAGGCGCGCGGGCCUCACCGCUGCCUCCUGAGGUGAGCCUCGCCGUCACUUUCUCUUGGUGCGAUGCUGCAUGUACAAUAGCCGGCGAGGUCUGUAUCUUGCGUCAAGAGUAGCGCUUGGGGAUCUUCAGGAGGUCCAUCGACAGCAAUACACAGCUGCAGGAAUGACAACAGGUGGACUAGCUCAACGUGAGGGUGACCAUGGGCAAGGGGUGCUGUGGCUGCUCGAGGUCUGGUGGUCAUGACAGGGGGCGAUGUGACUGUCAAGGUCUGGUUCGUUUUUGACGCCGCAGAGGUCGUCCGUGUCACUCCGAUCGGCUAACCGGCUGAUCCCACGGCCACGGGUGAGGCGAAAUCUCCCUAUUAUACCUGCAAAUCUUUUGCGUCCUCUAUUCACUGAUUAGUAUGCGGCGAGCUGAUUGUGAUGGUCAUACUUGGGUGCAGAGUGCAGGCUCCUACUUCAGGCUUCGAUCUAGAAACAAUUUCCCUGGGUGAAUGUAGGGAUGUACUAUGUAGUGUGAUUAAUUCGUUCAAGCUUUGUGUUCUUGAUUUUUCAUAAAAUUACGAAGUCUGCCUGUGUGAUUUGAGUGAAAUUUGUUGGUUGGGACAGGUUUACUUAGGCCUGCAACUUAGUUCUGCAUUAUGGAAGGUUUACUUAGUCCUGCAAAUUCGUCAAGUCUGAAUAUACAAG
Molecule: long non-coding RNA, 7416 nt
Filed under: Triticum aestivum (bread wheat)
Lineage: Eukaryota; Viridiplantae; Streptophyta; Magnoliopsida; Poales; Poaceae
Description: long non-coding RNA (TAES_LNC026789)
Source: RNAcentral